This is a long non-coding RNA of Myiozetetes cayanensis, 1074 nucleotides long. RefSeq lists it as uncharacterized. The record is from RefSeq and is a predicted model, not a curated record. NCBI's taxonomy places the organism in Eukaryota, Metazoa, Chordata, Aves, Passeriformes, Tyrannidae. The transcript is spliced from 5 exons.
CAGGCACAGUUAACCUGUGGUGGACACACCAGCCCUGCUGGACAUCCACAGACUCUCAGGAUGCCUCAAAUAUGAGCUUCCCAUUUUCAAUUCAUGAUUUUAGCUGGAAAAUUCACAGGACAAAAGUGCAUCUUAUGGAUUGGCUUAAUUCCACUAUCCUUAUUUUAGAUUCUUAACAUCUUGGCUUUGCCUUCCCAGCCUGCAUCAGCCAUUCCAACAAUCUGAAAUGCUUCGUGUAGAGCAUCCCCCAUAUUCACUGGGAAUGAAUCAGAACAUGUGUAACUCAGGAGUUACUCAGAAACAUAAACUGCAAUUCCUGGAGUGUAAGCAUGGAGGAAGUGUUAAGCCAGCUGAUUCAAGUGAGGACAUCAUAGAUCUUCAGAAUUGCUGAUGCUGCUUAGAUUUUACAUGUGACUACGAUGACAAAUUUCACCUUCAGGAGCAGAGCUCCACAUUAUGCCACGACAGCAAUGCAGCCAACCUCUGCUGUAUGCCGGAUGCCCUCGCACCAGAGAGCCUUUGAAACCUUCUCCUGUUUCUUCAACACCUGAUGGUGAUUGUUUGACUGGAGAUUUACAGAUGACCUGAAACUCAAAGCUUCCAAGUAGCUGAAGUUACAGAAGCAUUGAAACGGUGCUGGGUUCACUGUUAUCAUCAUCUGAUGGCUACUGAACAGUGAAAUGAGAUGGUAAUGUCUGCAUUCCAGCGGUGGAAAGUUUCUACCAUCAAAAACACCAACACAACUCAAAGAAAAAGCUAUUUAGAGACCUUAUGUUCCAGGCAUGUUUGUAUACGUUUGAGUUCUAACCACAUCAGUAGCAUUGCUGCCUUUAAUGCAAUAUCUCCUCUGAUAGUCUGUUGCAGGCAUAGGAACUGGCAGGAUGAAGAUUACUUAUCUCUGAGGGGAAAUAGGCAAGACACUGUGAUCAGGGAAGAAAGAGACUUCCACCCCCUGCUCCCAUCCCAUCAACACUGAGAAGAACUGAUGAAGCCAAAAGGUCCAUGAGGCAGCUCUGCAAAAUGUCUGUGGCUUGGGCAGUGUUUUCUUUCACAGAGUGGCAUAAUCACAGGGUA